RNAcentral lists this ribosomal RNA (467 nucleotides) under uncultured bacterium. Its description in RNAcentral is "partial 16S ribosomal RNA". It matches the Rfam family "Bacterial small subunit ribosomal RNA", at positions 28 to 507 of the family's 1533-position model. The record is from RNAcentral.
GACGAACGCUGGCGGCGUGCUUAACACAUGCAAGUCGAACGGAAAGGCCUCUUUCGGGGGGUACUCGAGUGGCGAACGGGUGAGUAACACGUGAGUAACCUGCCCUUGACUUUGGGAUAACUUCAGGAAACUGGGGCUAAUACCGGAUAGGAGCUCCUGCUGCAUGGUGGGGGUUGGAAAGUUUCGGCGGUUGGGGAUGGACUCGCGGCUUAUCAGCUUGUUGGUGUGGUAGUGGCUUACCAAGGCUUUGACGGGUAGCCGGCCUGAGAGGGUGACCGGCCACAUUGGGACUGAGAUACGGCCCAGACUCCUACGGGAGGCAGCAGUGGGGAAUAUUGCACAAUGGGUGGAAGCCUGAUGCAGCAACGCCGUGUGCGGGAUGACGGCCUUCGGGUUGUAAACCGCUUUCGCUCAUGACGAAGCUUUGUGUGACGGUAGUGGGUAAAGAAGCACCGGCUAACUACGUG